Molecule: ribosomal RNA, 453 nt
Filed under: uncultured Porphyromonadaceae bacterium
Lineage: Bacteria; Pseudomonadati; Bacteroidota; Bacteroidia; Bacteroidales; Porphyromonadaceae
Description: partial 16S ribosomal RNA
Rfam family: Bacterial small subunit ribosomal RNA
Source: RNAcentral
ACGGAAGGCAGCAGUGGGGAAUAUUGGGCAAUGGGCGAAAGCCUGAACCAGCCAAGUCGCGUGAAGGAUGAAGGUAUUAUGUAUUGUAAACUUCUUUAGACGCAAAGAAAUAAGAGGCUCGUGAGCCUUGAUGCUAGUAUGCGUAGAAUAAGGAUCGGCUAACUCCGUGCCAGCAGCCGCGGUAAUACGGAGGAUCCGAGCGUUAUCCGGAUUUAUUGGGUUUAAAGGGUGCGCAGGCGGCCCUGUAAGUCAGCGGUUAAAUCGUGGAGCUCAACUCCAUCCCGCCGUUGAUACUGCAGGGCUUGAUUGCGGUCGAGGUUGGCGGAAUUCGCCGUGUAGCGGUGAAAUGCAUAGAUAUGGCGAAGAACUCCGAUUGCGUAGGCAGCUGACCAGACCGUAAAUGACGCUCAUGCACGAAAGUGCGGGGAUCGAACAGGAUUAGAUACCCUGGUA